AAGUGACCUGAAAUACAGCAGAAUCCUUUCUCCCAUCGUUCUGCUCAGAGACUUUGGAACCGAUAUCCGAUGUCCAGGUCUGGCUGAAGAGUGCUGGUUCCCAUAAGUGCCACACUGCACAUUGAUGGGUGAUCCCUGGAGUGCAAUACUUCCAUCAAGCACACUGGGAACCCGGCUCUUGCAGCCAAGGAAGCCUGGGAGUCAUAACUGGAGAAUGUGAAGAUAGAAACAAUACUUCUUCAACCCUUGUUCUCCUGUUCCUCACUGUGUAACAGCCUCCAUGAUGAUCUCAGCAUGGACUAGGGAUGCACUCAUACUCAUCCUUCCAGCCUCUGCUUUCCAGGAGCUUGGUGGAGAAGGUGAUUAGAGCUGAUGUUGUUGAUAUAGGUGCAUGGAGGCGAUGUGGCUGGGCAGUUACAGGAGGUAGUUAGUGACAAGGAGUCCUUAAGGUCUUCCCUCUUCUCCACUGCCCUCCCCGAGCUGUUCUUCUGGGGUGUUCAGGCAACAACUAGCUUUUUCCCAGGUAUACACAUCAAGCAGAGCAUUGUGAUCAAUCCUGAUGACCCCCUAAAACUGAGGUUUUUACAGUGUAAUAAUAAUUGAUGUUUGACAAAGUGCUCAGUAGUCUCUAAAAUUGGAAGAUAUCUUUUACUGAGGCCUAGAUAGGUCAUCCUUAGCAGAGAUCACCCAAACAAUGUGACUUAAACCAGAUUUCAUUCAGUAAUUUAUCAGUAUUAUUGAACACUACAUCUGAAACUAAUGAUGUCCUGUAAGUUGGCUAAUAGAAUUUAAAUAAAAAUAAAAAAAAAUAAUUAAAACACAAACAAAAAACCCUCAGAUUUCGUGACUCUAAAUUCCAUGGUUCUUUUCACUCUCUGUGACACCUUUCCAGU
Long non-coding RNA from Mustela erminea (ermine), 893 nucleotides. RefSeq lists it as uncharacterized. The record is from RefSeq and is a predicted model, not a curated record. NCBI's taxonomy places the organism in Eukaryota, Metazoa, Chordata, Mammalia, Carnivora, Mustelidae. The transcript has 4 exons.